This is a transfer RNA of 72 nucleotides. It matches the Rfam family "tRNA". Rfam says of the family: Transfer RNA (tRNA) molecules are approximately 80 nucleotides in length. Their secondary structure includes four short double-helical elements and three loops (D, anti-codon, and T loops). The record is from Rfam.
GCGGGAAUAACUCAGUGGUAGAGUGCAACCUUGCCAAGGUUGAAGUCGCGGGUUCGAACCCCGUUUCCCGCU